UAUUGCUAACACAUCUAUAAGGGACUCAAAUCUCAAGUUUGGUAAUUGUUUUUAUGAAAAUGGACAGGUUGAUUAUCAAAAGCUUUCCAAAGAGUGAAUAUGUUGGCCCUUCUGGUCCCAAACGCAAAAUCAAUAGCAAAGUUGACAACACAAAUGGAACAUUUCUGAAAUGUUUAUACCUGCUUGUCUAAAUUAAAACCAAGGACACACUGGGGUUUUGCGAGGCCCUUGGGUGGACUGAUCUCACUGUGAAUUUGGCGUCAGUAGGUUGAAAGUUGUGCUUACGGAAAUGUAAACCACUGACCCCAGUGGCCAAAGCUGGAAGUCUUGUUUAACCUAUGGGCACAUGUGAGCUCUAGUUUUUGGGUGAAAUGUCCACAGAGAGGUGCCACAAAUAAGUUGUAAAGCAAAUUGUUUUUAGUUGAAAUCUAUGUAAUACAGUGAACAGGAAUGCAUAUUUUAUUAAGCAUAUGCUCUAAACCAAAACCCAACCCUAAGCUUAACCUUCAGUGGAGUGAAAGUGUAAUCUUAGAAGGAAAAUGCAACCUCUGAAUCGCGUACAUCAUUAAUUAUGUAAAUGUGGUUACUACUUGGUUUUCAUGGGACCAGAACCCAUGUCUCUAAGGCUGCUUACGCAAUCCACUUUCAGUAGUGCCACAGCAAAACUAAACACUUUUGAACAGAUGCAAAGAUGUCUGAUGGGAGAAGGGGCUUGUCAGUACCUCACCAGAAAGGGGUCGAGUUCCCGGCUACAGGCUCUUUAUAAAAUUAAAUUAAAACUACAUUGGACACCUUAUAGAAAAUGAAAGAGAUUUGUCAUUGUUAUUUAAUUUUUGUGGCAUGAUAAGUGAUGUUGCAUUUUCUUUAAACUCAGUUGCGUUGAUUGAUGUUGUUGGGUAGUCAAGUAUUGUUUGUUUUUGCUAGAGCCACAAUUUCAUGCCACCCAUGGCCACUAGUUUUGAUAACCUCACCAAUCUGUCUUAAUCUUGGCUUAUUUACUUGGUGAUUUAAUAGAGAGGCAUGGUUUCAAACUUCUAGAUGGAAAAUGUAUAGUCACGAAUCAUUGCAUUAUUUUGCGUCAUAUAGUCUGUCUGUCAGAUUGUUAUAUGAAGUUGUAAUGCAACAUGUCCAAAUAUUUAUACUACGGGGGCGAAAUCCAAAUUAGCAGGAAAAACCAGACAGGUCUGCUACCUCGUUUCAUGACCAGGUCCACUUGCAAACACUGCGGGCUGAGGUGCCAUUUGGCAGGCAAUAAAUGACUUCUCAAAAAGACUUUGACACAGGUUGCAAUUGCUAUGCGGCGAUAACAUUGCCUUAUCUGCCGGCUUACAUUGAAAAACCUGUGAGAUGAAUAUGCAACAUCCUCAUUACAAGCAUUUUUUAUUUCAUGAGGGACGUGUGGGAGCUCUCUCGCUCGCCUUUCUGUUUUUUAACCUGCUAUCACAAUGUGCCUAAUUUGAGCAAAGAGAAUAGGAAAGCUGUGCUUGGUUAUGACCCUAUUACUAAGAGCCAUAUUUUCCCAUAUAGCCUGUUUGUGCCUCUGUGUCGAGCCGUUAAACUGAAACAGAGCUGAUGCAUGAGUCGCAACAGUGUUGAAGACAGAUAAGCUUAGCUGUACUGUAAAAAUGCUAGAAAGAAAGAACUGGCCUACCAUUAAGUGCAACAGUGACUGCUCACUUUUUCAGUGGCCUUAGUUCCAGAAGUAUAUUUCCUAUUCACUUUCUCCAUUGGGGUUUCAGAAAAAUCUUGUUCUAAGCCAUGAACCAAACCAACCAGCUAUGAGAUGAAUCACACCAUUACAAACCUUUGAUUCAUUAUUAAAACUGUGUACUUAAAAGUAGGGGUGUGACGAUACACUUAGCUCACGAGACGAUACACGAUACUGGGUUUACAAGUACGAGACAAGGCAAUAUUUUAUCACUAUAUACCCUACCGGUCAAAAGAUCUUAAACACUUAUUCUUUAUUAUAAUUUUUUUUUCUUCUCAUUUUAGAAUAAUAGUGAAGUCAUAAAAACUAUGGAAUAACAUAAAUGGAACUAUGGGAAUUAUGUUGUGACUAAACAAAAUCCAAAAUAAAUCAAAACUGUGUUAUAUUUUAGCAUCUUCAAAGUAGUCACCCUUUGCCUAGAAUUUGCAGACAUGUACUCUUGACAUUUUCUCAACCAACUUCUUGAGGUAACACCCUGGGAUGCUUUUUAAACAGUAUUGAAGGAGUUCCCAUCUAUGUUGGGCACUUAUUUGUUGCUUUUCUUUAUUAUUAUUAAAACUUUUUUUUUUUAAUUACAUCUUAGUUUUAUAAUGAAAUAAAUUAAUAUGGUGGCACAAUUAUAUUUUUGUCUACAAAACUAAUUUCAAACAUUUAAGCAUACGCUUUCAGCUCAAAAGAUUUUUAAGAUCAUGAGAAACAUUUCAGGCAAGUGUUUCAAAACUUUUGACCGGUAGUGUAUAUGACUGGAAAAAUAGUCUUUUAUUCACAAAAUGCAAAACAAUGCAGGUGCAUUUUGAAAUGUUUUAACUAAUCAUCUUGUAAUGAAUUUCACUUCAGUUCUACUUUCUGAGUAUGAAUUAUCAUAUGCAGUAAAAUGCAAAACAAUAUGCAAGCACUGUAAAAGGUUUUGCCACAAACUCAACUGACUGGCUUCUCUCCUGUAUGAUUUCACAUGAGUCUCUUCAGACCUGGUUGAUUUUAGUUGAGAGUUGCGGUGGUUCUGUAGGUGUCUUUGCAUAGUGCUUGUGUUAGCCGCGGUGUACGGCACUAUUUUCUUACAGUGCUUACAUAUUGGCUGUGUCUCAUUUGUAAGGCUGUGUCCUCCGGAGGUCGCAUUUGUCGGCCACAUUUGUUGGCCACAUACGUCAUCGAAAAAAAUUUAACGAGAUUUAUCUCGAUGACGUAUGCGGCCCAUAAAUGCGACCUCCAGAGGAUGCAGCCUUCCAAACGAGAGACAGCCUUUGUUCGUGUCUUGUCUUUCACUCUGUCGCCGUUUAUUGUUUCCACCGGGUACCUAAAAUGCUGUCACACAAACGAUUUAAAAGUGGCGUUGGCAUCUUCUAUGCUAAUUUCACCCUCACACUCCGUCAUGCUGAUAUCAUGACAGUUUUUCACCUCAACGAGAAAUAUCGUCAUGUUUUAAUAUCGCGAGAUCUCGUGGCACGAAAUCUCGUCACACCCCUACUUAAAAGGAUAAAUCACCCACAAAUGAAAUUUCACUCAACAUCUUUUUCCAAACCUGUAUGACUUUCUUUCAUGGAACACAAAAGGAACUGAUAGCCUCAGUCAUUAUUUAGUUUAAUUUUUUUCAUACAAUGAAAGUGAAUGGUGACUAAUGCUGUCAGAAGCAUAUGUUAUCAUUAAAAAUCUGUUUUUCUAUGGAGACAAUGAAUGGAUUUACUUUUUGAGCCAUACUGUUGCGCUCUGUUUUACACUGUCGUUUCUAUGAUGUGUGUUUGUGAUGUCAUGACAAAAUGCCCUGUAGAGUACAGUAUGCAGUUACAUGAUGGCACAUUUCAAGGAAAAAAUAGCUUCCUGCUGAGAUACAUGGCUAUGAUUCACAUUUGUGUGGAUGUGUGUCUGCAUGGACUCAAGUAUGGCACUCAAGAAAUGCUAUAUGUCUCCAUGUCAAGACAUUUGAACUAGACUGCCCCCUUAAACAGCUGGAGUCAAUGUUAUGGCCAGAAAGUAAUUCACACUUUGCCUUUCAUUGAGUGGCAAAUACCUCAUACUCCACACCUCUCACUUCUAGUACUGAAUGUGUUAGAGAAACACACAUAGAUGCCUUUUAGUAAAGCAGCUUAUAAACUAGUUGGUUGUGUCUGACUAAUUUGUGACUAAUUUGUCACAAAUUAUCCAGGGCUCAAUAAAUGCCACUGAAAGUGAAUAAAACCAUAGAUGGGCUCUCAUUACCAUGAUUGGAUUAAAGUCAACAUUCAAAAUGACAUUUGCAACCCAUUUUACUUAAGGUCUGUAAUGUAUUUUGGAGUAAAAUAGAAUAUUCAUUGAAAAUAAAGUAAGGGACUUACUACUAUUCGUUAGGGUUAGGAUUGAAUUGUGAAAAGUGGGCAUUCCGUAGCAGAAUAGAACCUGAAUAUGGGCUUGCAUUUGAUUGUUAUUCCGUUCCUAAAACACAGUUGGCAACCACUUGGCCAGGACGUGGAGGCUAAAGGUCAAGUUCACCCUCAAGAAUUUGCACGUAUCCUAAUAGUAACGCUUCUUUUUCAAAUCUGUCGUCAAUUGCUACUAUUGCCGUAACCUUGUACAUUAGCGUUAAUCUACUUUAAAUGACUGUUAACCAUUGGCAAGAUUUUAAAGAGGUUGAAUUAGCUGCAACAGUAGACUAUUUGGCUAUAGCCUUUGUGGCCUAAGAUAAAUAUAUUUUCUUCUUUGGAAUACGUUACACUAAUGAAUUGAGCACAGUAUGAACAGGAAGGUGUAUUAAGAAAGUAAAUAUGGUUAAUUUGUCUCUAUCUAUAUUGAAUUUUUCAUUGACUUUAAUGUUACUAUUAUUCCUAAAACAAACUAUGGUAUUUGUUAGGAAAAGCAAAUAGCUUACAAACUGAAGUAAAAACAAAAUAAUGUAGAUUUCCUUAUUCAGGAGGCUGUAUGGAUAUACUGUGCAACAUACUAUAUAAUAAAAAUUACUGCUGUUAGUAUUACUGUAAUACAUUGGGAUAUUUUCUUAACAGUUAAAGUGAGCAGGCCUCUGUUUUGCCUUAGCUUCAUAAUUUCAGCCUGGCCAGACAUGAUUGCAGUCUCCCUGUUUGACGAAUUUUUGAAUUAACCUUUGCAAAAGCACUUCUGCUGAGUUUUCCUACAAUAGCUGCUUCGCUUGGAGUUAUGAUGGUGCUUUAGAAAAGAUUUUUGCCCACAUUCACAGAUAUAAUACCAUCAAAAGAAAUAUUCACUUUUAAUGCUUCCCAUUGUUUCCAGUAACUGGACUGACCUCAGUAAAUGCAUUUCUGCACGACGCACUGGUUUGCUGAUUUGAAAUUGAUCAAAAUAAUGGAGCAAAACAAAGAGGAGGCGAGCAUUCUGUGCACGCUUUUUAUGAGGCUUAAUACUUCUGUUUGGAUGGAUAAAAUAAAAAAUAAAAAAUAUGUAAUUACAAAGCUUUCUGCUAUUCAUUAUGGGUAUUCUGUUAUUGACAAAAGACAGAUGUGAUUCUGCAAACAACAUUUGUGAAAUGUCAAGGGUUAAGGGCUUUGAGCCUCAAAUCAAAACUGCAUUUGCUGCUUGUGAUAACUGUGCCCAUGGCUUACAUUAAUACCAGACAAUAUGACAUUUUUUGAGCAACCUGAUUACCCAAAGGCUUCAGGUAAACCCAUGGGUAAAAUACCCAUAAAAUCGUAACAUUUGGCCAUUAUAGGACUUUAUGAACAUUUCAUGACGUGGUAUUUUAAAAUACAGUAUGUAUAUAGUCAGUGAAGACUUGAGCCACACUUAAAAAUGUAAGAAUGUCAUUGCAUUAAAACAAGCACUUUUCUCAGAACUAACUUCACUUUUCUGAACUAAUUUUGCUUUUACUUUUAACCAACUGGUCUCAAAGUGUUUUAGUGAAUGUAUGUAGCCAGUUCCAUUAAAGUUCACCUAUGUGUCCGACUAGAGCUACAGUUAUAAUUCAUCACAUUAACUAUGGACAAGUUCCACUUAUGUUUGACAUCCAGAAAGUGUCCAAAUACUUAUUUUCUUCAUUGUAAACAGUAUAUUUGUUCAAAAUCUAAAACAAACAUCUUUUAGUUACACUUUUAGCUAUUCUGUUACAGUAUGUAGAGCACAACAUUCAUACAUUUUAAUUGUAUGAAUGUAAAAAAAAAAGAAGAAAAACUUUUUGUGACCACUGUAUCUAUGUGUCUAUCCACACAUAUUAAUUACUGAAGUCUCUAUGCCAAGAUUUUUUAAGUUUUGUGAUAUGCAUUGCAUAGCUGAAAGCAUUUUUAAUGACUAGACUGACAUGAUCAGAUACUAACCUACAUUCUUUCGGGUCAGGCAACUGUUGGAAAGAUCCUUGUGUUUUUUAUAUUAUUGCAUUUUAAUAGUUAGAUCAUGAGUUGGUUUAUUUUAAUGAGCACAUCUGAUGACUGAAACUUGAUGAUUCAUGUUCGUAAUGAGCUGCAGAAGUUGGGUGAUUCUUAAAUUAGAGGCACUUUUGACUACUUGAAACUUCUUUAAACUCAGCUUCUGCAUCUAUGUUAAAACAUUUAUCACUCCUGGAAUAAGGAUCAAGUUGAUUUUGGCAUAGAUGGCAAUAUCAUGUUAUGGUAAUGACAUUUUCAUUUUUGAGGAAAAAGUUGGAUUGGCAUUAAACUUGCAAACACUAAGCUAAUGGGAUAGAUAGCAGUCAGUUCAGUUUGAAUUCAUAAAAAUAAUAAGAAAAUGGAUUGCUUCUCUAUUAAAAUGCUCAAAUAAGGUGGUAAGGACACCUAAAGUUACACUCAGAUCUUGUAUGUAAAAAUAAAAUGUAUGUAUGUAUUUAUACUAUAUUUAAACAGACACACUAAGCUCUGCUUUAACAACCUGUCUAGACAGCAUCUGUCCUCUCUCCUCUAGGCCACCACAUAUGACACCACCCAGCCCCUGGCUCUCUGACAUCCUUUGUGAACAUCGGACUGACCUCAGGGCGGCUGAGAGGAGAUGGUGGAAAUCUAAAGAUCCAGCAGAUUUGGAACAAGCUGCUGGAUGACAAUCAGUCAGGGUACAAAAGCGGACACUCCACCGACACUGCCCUGCUGUCUGUCACUGAGUCGCUGAGACAGGUAAAAGCUGGAUCCAGAUCAUCCGUCAUGAUUGUACUGGACCUUUCUGCAGCCUUUGAUACAGUCAACCAUCAGAUCCUACUCUCCACCCUCUCUAAUCUGGGCAUCACAGGAACUGUGCUUGACUGGUUUAAUUCCUAUCUCUCAGCCCAACGACACCACGGUGACUGCUCGAAUCUCUGCCUGUUUGGCAGACAUCUCAGUCUGGAUGAAGGAACACCACCUGCAACUUAACCCAGCCAAGACUGAACUCCUUGUCUUUCCAGCCAACCCUGCUGUUGAACACAACAUCACCGUGCAGCUGGGUUCAACUACAGUAAUGCCUUCCAAAACAGUAAGAAAUCUAGGGGUAACCAUCGAUAACCAACAAAAUUUCACAGACCACAUGCCAAAGACUGCACGAUCAUGUAGAUUUACACUCUACAAUAUCAGGAAGACCCUUCCUCUCUGAACAUUCCACACAACUUCUUGUUCAGUCACUUGUCAUAACUAGACUGGACUGCUGUAGCGCUCUCAUUGCAGGCCUCCCUGCAUGCACAAAUAGACCCCUGCAAAUGAUCCAGAAUGCAGCAGCACGUCUGGUCUUAACUGCAUCCGUGAAGCUGACUCACUUUCUGUCACUUGUGUUUGCUUACAAUGUAUUAUUCUUUUGUAAGUCGCUUUGGAUAAAAGGGUAUGCCAAAUGAAUAAAUGUAAAUAUAUGUUUUCAUAAAUUUUCAUUUCAGAAAAUGUAAUUUUUUAGGUCACUAUGCAGUGCAUUCAUAAAGUAUUCAGACCCCUUCAUUUUUUUCACAUUUUGUUAUGUUGCAACCUUAUGCUAAAAUGCUUUAAAUAUAUAUAUAUUUUUUCACAUCAAUCUACACUCCAUACCCCAUAAUGACAAAGCAAAGGCCAGAUUUUUUUGAUAACUUUGCAAAUGUAUUAAAAAGAAGAAGAAGAAAAAAACAAAACAAAAAAACAACUGAAAUAUCACUUGACAUAAGUAUUCAGACCCUUUGCUAUGAUACUUGAAACUUAGCUCAGGUGCAUCUAAUUUCUCUGGAUCAUCUUUGAGAUGUUUCUACACUUUGACUGGAGUCCACCUUAGGCAAAUUCAAUUGAUUGGACAUGAUUUUGAAAGGCACACACCUGUCUAUACAAAACCAAGCAAAAACCAAGCCAUGAGGUCAAAGGAACUGCCUGCAGAGCUCAGAGACAGGAUUGUGUUGAGGCACAGAUCUGGGGAAGGCUACAAAAAAAUUCUGGCUGCAGUGAAGGUUCUCAAGAGCACAGUGGCCUCCAUAAUUCUUAAAUUGAAGGAGUUUGAAACGGCCAGGACUCUUCCUAAAGCUGGCCGCCCGGCCAAACUGAGCAAUAAGGGGAGAAGGGCCUUGGUAAGAGAGGUGACCAAGAACCCAAUGGUCACUCUGUUUGAGCUCCAGAGAUCAUGUGUGGAGAUUGGAGAAACUUGCUGAAGGACAGCCAUCACUGCAAUACUCCACCGAUCUGGGCUUUAUGGCAGAGUGGCCAGAUGGAAGCCUCUCCUCAGUGCAAGACACUUAAAAAAAACACCUAAAAGACUCUCAAACUGUGAGAAACAAGAUUCUCUGGUAUGAUGAAAUGAAGAUUGAACUGUCUGGCCUCAAUUCCAAGCAUCAUGUCUGGAAGAAACCAGGCACUGCUCAUCGCCUGUGCAAUACCAUCCCAAUGGUGAAGCAUUGUGGUGGUAGCAUUAUGCUGUGGGGGUGUUUUUCAGCAGCAGGACUGGGGGACUGGUCAGGGUUGAAGGAAAGCUGAAUGCAUCGGAGAUAUCCUUAAUGAAAACCUGGUCCAGAGCACUCAGGACCUUAGACUGGGCCAAAUCCAGAUGUGCAAAGCUUGUUGCAUUAUACCCCAAAAGACUUGAGGCUGUAAUCGCUGCCAAAGGUGCUUCAACUAAGUACUGAGUUAAGGGUCCGAAUGCUUAUGUCAAUGUGAUAUUUCAUUUUUUUUUUUUUUGCCUUGUCAUAAUGGGGUAUGGAGUGUAGAUUGAUGUGAUUUUUUUUUUUUUUUUUUUUUUAAAGCAUUUUAGCAUAAGGCUGCAACAUAACAAAAUGUGAAAAAAAUGAAAGGGUCUGAAUACUUUCUGAAUGCACAGUAUAUACCGUAUAUAGUGAUCUAAAAAUUACAUUUUCUGAAAUGAAAAUUUAUGACAAUACAUCUUAUUUAAUGUACAGUACUUGAGCAAAGUUCUUAGGCACUUAGAUGUUUCACAAAAGCAUUUGUCUAAAUAUGGUUAAUUUGUAUUUUAUUUUUUUUAUCUUUGCUUUAAUGUGUCAAUAGGAAAUAUCAUUUUUUGAUUUCCAAAUAUGCCUUUUGCAAAUGAAAGAAUAAAAUUUAGAGCAAUAGUCCUGUAACAGAUGGUAUUGCCCCCACAGAGCCUGGAUCUCAAUUUGAUCAAGUCUGGGAUUGCAUGAAGAGACAGAAGCAAUUAAAACUGCCUAAAUACAUACAACUGUGGCAAGUUUUCCAAGAUGCUUUGAACAACCUAUCUGCCAUCCACCUUAUAAAAAACUGUGUGCAAGUGUACCCAGAAUAAUUGGUGCUGUUUUAAAGGCAUAGAAUGUUCACACCAAAUAUUGAUUUAUUUUAUGUUUACUGCACUUUGUAUGAAGUAAAUUGAUAAAUGAAAACUAUUCAUGGCAUAAUUUUUUUAAACAUCCUCACUGUACAUGUAAAAAUGUAGUUGUAAAUCAAUAAAUGUGCA
This is a long non-coding RNA of Myxocyprinus asiaticus (Chinese sucker), 9472 nucleotides long. RefSeq lists it as uncharacterized. NCBI's taxonomy places the organism in Eukaryota, Metazoa, Chordata, Actinopteri, Cypriniformes, Catostomidae. The record is from RefSeq and is a predicted model, not a curated record. The transcript is spliced from 3 exons.